This 254-nucleotide ribosomal RNA is filed under the name uncultured bacterium. RNAcentral describes it as "partial small subunit ribosomal RNA". It matches the Rfam family "Bacterial small subunit ribosomal RNA", at positions 26 to 285 of the family's 1533-position model. The record is from RNAcentral.
AGGACGAACGCUGGCGGCGUGCUUAACACAUGCAAGUCGAGCGGAAAGGCCCUUCGGGGUACUCGAGCGGCGAACGGGUGAGUAACACGUGAGUAACCUGCCCCUAGCUCUGGGAUAGCUCCGGGAAACCGGGAUUAAUACCAGAUACGACCACUUUAGACAUCUGUCGUGGUGGAAAGGAUUCCGGCUAGGGAUGGGCUCGCGGCCUAUCAGCCUGUUGGUGGGGUAACGGCCUACCAAGGCGACGACGGGUA